RNAcentral lists this transfer RNA (73 nucleotides) under Bos taurus (domestic cattle). It matches the Rfam family "tRNA". From Rfam's summary of the family: Transfer RNA (tRNA) molecules are approximately 80 nucleotides in length. Their secondary structure includes four short double-helical elements and three loops (D, anti-codon, and T loops). Lineage: Eukaryota; Metazoa; Chordata; Mammalia; Artiodactyla; Bovidae. RNAcentral also lists the same sequence under 2 other names. The record is from Rfam by way of RNAcentral.
UCACUGGUGGUCCAGUGGUUAAGACUCCACACUCCCAAAGCAGGAAGCCUGGGUUCAAUCCCUAGUCAGGGAA